This is an RNA transcript of Gorilla gorilla gorilla (western lowland gorilla), 710 nucleotides long. It is a transcript of the gene named gamma-tubulin complex component 5-like, with no coding region annotated. NCBI's taxonomy places the organism in Eukaryota, Metazoa, Chordata, Mammalia, Primates, Hominidae. The record is from RefSeq and is a predicted model, not a curated record. The transcript is spliced from 5 exons.
UCUAAGGCUGUGCUCCGCUCACCAUCCAGAGCGGAGGUGCGGACCUUAAACUCACUCCUGGAGAAAGAUCAGCAAGUGCUCAGAGAGAAGACUGGCAGUGGAGCAUGCAUCUGGAGGGCAGAGACGGCAGGCAGUACCCCGGCGCGCCGGUGGUGGAGCUCCUGCAGACGUCCGUGCCCACUGGACUCGCUGAACUUGCGCCGGCAAGCGCAGGCUUCCUCGGGGAGCCGGUGGGGCUGACCCCUCGCACUCCUGCCCCAGCGGGGCUGCCGGGCAGAGCUCCUGUGCUCCUGCAGGCCAGGAGUUUGCUUCAUUCCUCACAAAAGGGAGAUUUCAUCGUUUCUUGGAUGUCAACAGCCACAAAAUAGAAAAAACAAUCAAAGGAAUUUAUGAAAAAUUUGUCAUUCAUUCUGAUCUUAGCAAAGCUGCUAGUUGGAAGAGAUUAACGGAGGAAUUUCUAAAUGCACCACUUCCCAGUAUAAAGGAAAUAAAGACUGAGUGUCACUUUGUCGCCCAGGCUUGGAGUGCAGUGGUGCAGUCUCGACUCAUUGCAACCCCCACUUCCCAGAUUCAAGUGAUUCUCCUGCCUCAGCCUCCCGAGUAGCUGGGAUUACAGGUGCCCACCACCAUGCCCAGCUAAUUUUUUGUAUUUUUAGUAGAGACAGGGUUUCACCAUGUUGGCCAGGCUGGUCCCGAACUCUUGACCUCAA